CCAGACUCCUACGGGAGGCAGCAGUGAGGAAUAUUGGUCAAUGGGCGCGAGCCUGAACCAGCCAAGUCGCGUGAGGGAUGACGGUCCUACGGAUUGUAAACCUCUUUUGCCGGGGAGCAAGCGUGCGUUCGUGAACGCGCGUCGAGAGUACCCGGAGAAAAAGCAUCGGCUAACUCCGUGCCAGCAGCCGCGGUAAUACGGAGGAUCCGAGCGUUAUCCGGAUUUAUUGGGUUUAAAGGGAGCGUAGGCGGGUUGUUAAGUCAGUUGUGAAAGUUUGCGGCUCAACCGUAAAAUUGCAGUUGAUACUGGCAUCCUUGAGUACAGUAGAGGUAGGCGGAAUUCGUGGUGUAGCGGUGAAAUGCUUAGAUAUCACGAAGAACUCCGAUUGCGAAGGCAGCCUGCUGGACUGUAACUGACGCUGAUGCUCGAAAGUGUGGGUAUCAAACAGGAUUAGAUACCCCAGUA
This 465-nucleotide ribosomal RNA is filed under the name uncultured bacterium. RNAcentral's name for it is "bacterial SSU rRNA". It matches the Rfam family "Bacterial small subunit ribosomal RNA", at positions 331 to 792 of the family's 1533-position model. The record is from RNAcentral.